Molecule: long non-coding RNA, 107 nt
Organism: Hibiscus syriacus
Lineage: Eukaryota; Viridiplantae; Streptophyta; Magnoliopsida; Malvales; Malvaceae
Exons: 3
Source: RefSeq, a predicted model, not a curated record
GAAGAGAAAAAUUCAGAAAAGGGAUUUGAAAAAUUAUUUAUAUAGAAAGACUGAAAAAUAAUAUUUUUUAUGGGUGGAAGCCAGGAAAGCAAAACCAAACUCGAAAA